AGUGAACGCUGGCGGUAGGCCUAACACAUGCAAGUCGAACGGCAGCACAGUAAGAGCUUGCUCUUACGGGUGGCGAGUGGCGGACGGGUGAGGAAUACAUCGGAAUCUACUUUUUCGUGGGGGAUAACGUAGGGAAACUUACGCUAAUACCGCAUACGACCUACGGGUGAAAGCAGGGGAUCUUCGGACCUUGCGCGAUUGAAUGAGCCGAUGUCGGAUUAGCUAGUUGGCGGGGUAAAGGCCCACCAAGGCGACGAUCCGUAGCUGGUCUGAGAGGAUGAUCAGCCACACUGGAACUGAGACACGGUCCAGACUCCUACGGGAGGCAGCAGUGGGGAAUAUUGGACAAAGGGCGCAAGCCUGAGCCAGCCAUACCGCGUGGGUGAAGAAGGCCUUCGGGUUGUAAAGCCCUUUUGUUGGGAAAGAAAAGCAGCAGGUUAAUACCCCGCUGUUCUGACGGUACCCAAAGAAUAAGCACCGGCUAACUUCGUG
This 492-nucleotide ribosomal RNA is filed under the name uncultured bacterium. RNAcentral describes it as "partial 16S ribosomal RNA". It matches the Rfam family "Bacterial small subunit ribosomal RNA", at positions 29 to 507 of the family's 1533-position model. The record is from RNAcentral.